UAUUUUGCUGGUUUAAAGGAGACUCGCAAAUCGUUUGUCAGUUUCUGAACCUGAACAACUGUUUUAUCAGUAAUUAUAAUUUAUUUCAAUGAAAUGUUAUAACAUGCUUGUAUAAAUGGAAAGUAAUGGUUGCAGGAGCUGGGCAUCUAGGAUAAAGCAUACAUUAGAAAUCUAUGGAUUUGGAUUUGUUUGGCAAGAACAGAUGGUUCGAAGUGAAACGCUAUUUUUAAAUAAAUUUCUUGGUAGACUUAAAGUUUCGUAUCAACAGGACUGGCAUUCUGCACUAAUAAAAGGCACAAAACAUU
This is a long non-coding RNA of Haliotis rubra (blacklip abalone), 305 nucleotides long. RefSeq lists it as uncharacterized. Lineage: Eukaryota; Metazoa; Mollusca; Gastropoda; Lepetellida; Haliotidae. The record is from RefSeq and is a predicted model, not a curated record. The transcript is spliced from 2 exons.